Molecule: ribosomal RNA, 484 nt
Filed under: uncultured bacterium
Lineage: Bacteria
Description: bacterial SSU rRNA
Rfam family: Bacterial small subunit ribosomal RNA
Source: RNAcentral
ACGACGCUGGCGGCGUGGAUUAGGCAUGCAAGUCGAACGGUAUCAUCCUUCGGGGGUGAGAGAGUGGCGAACUGGUGAGUAACACGUAGGUUAUCUACCCUCAAGACGGGGACAACCCAGGGAAACUUGGGCUAAUACCGGAUGUGAGCAACUUUUAGUUGUUUGAAAGGUGGCGUAAGCUGUCGCUUGGGGAUGAGCCUGCGUCCUAUUAGUUAGUUGGUGAGGUAACGGCUCACCUAGGCAAUGAUAGGUAGGCGGCCUUAACGGGUGGUCGCCCACACUGGGAUUGAGAUACGGCCCAGACUCCUACGGGAGGCAGCAGCCGAGAAUAGUCUACAAUGGUCGGAAGACUGAUAGUGCGACGCCGCGUGAACGAUGAAUCCCUUCGGGGUGUAAAGUUCUUUUAUAUGUGAGCAGUGCUUCUUAUAUUAACAGUAUGGGGAGAGAGAUAUUAGCAUAUGAAUAAGCAACGGCUAACUCCGUG